UGGCGGACGGGUGAGUAAUGUCUGGGAAACUGCCCGAUGGAGGGGGAUAACUACUGGAAACGGUAGCUAAUACCGCAUAACGUCGCAAGACCAAAGAGGGGGACCUUCGGGCCUCCUGCCAUCGGAUGUGCCCAGAUGGGAUUAGCUAGUAGGUGGGGUAACGGCUCACCUAGGCGACGAUCCCUAGCUGGUCUGAGAGGAUGACCAGCCACACUGGAACUGAGACACGGUCCAG
This 235-nucleotide ribosomal RNA is filed under the name uncultured bacterium. RNAcentral's name for it is "partial 16S ribosomal RNA". It matches the Rfam family "Bacterial small subunit ribosomal RNA", at positions 96 to 334 of the family's 1533-position model. The record is from RNAcentral.